This 465-nucleotide ribosomal RNA is filed under the name uncultured bacterium. Its description in RNAcentral is "partial 16S ribosomal RNA". It matches the Rfam family "Bacterial small subunit ribosomal RNA", at positions 338 to 795 of the family's 1533-position model. The record is from RNAcentral.
CCUACGGGUGGCAGCAGUGGGGAAUAUUGCGCAAUGGGCGAAAGCCUGACGCCGCGACGCCGCGUGAGGGAUGAAGGCCUUCGGAUCGUAAACCUCUGUCAGCAGGGAAGAACGGUCACUGUGCUAAUCAGCAGUGAAUUGACGGUACCUGCAAAGGAAGCACCGGCUAACUCCGUGCAAGCAGCCGCGGUAAUACGGAGGGUGCGAGCGUUAAUCGGAAUUUCUGUGCGAAAAGCGCUCGUAGGCGGUAUGUCAAGUCAAGGGUGAAAUCCCCGCGCUCAACGUGGGAACUGCCUGUGAAACUGGCGACCUGGAGUGUGUGAGAGGAUAGUGGAAUGCCAGGUGUAGGGGUGAAAUCCGUAGAUAUCUGGAAGAACAUCAGUGGCGAAGGCGACUAUCUGGCACAUAACUGACGCUGAGGAGCGAAAGCGUGGGUAGCAAACAGGAUUAGAUACCCUUGUAGUC